ACAGUGUCAGGUGGGCAGUUUGACUGGGGCGGUCGCCUCCUAAAGUGUAACGGAGGCGCCCAAAGGUUCCCUCAGAAUGGUUGGAAAUCAUUCGUAGAGUGCAAAGGCAUAAGGGAGCUUGACUGCGAGACCUACAAGUCGAGCAGGGACGAAAGUCGGGCUUAGUGAUCCGGUGGUUCCGCAUGGAAGGGCCAUCGCUCAACGGAUAAAAGCUACCCCGGGGAUAACAGGCUUAUCUCCCCCAAGAGUCCACAUCGACGGGGAGGUUUGGCACCUCGAUGUCGGCUCAUCGCAUCCUGGGGCUGUAGUCGGUCCCAAGGGUUGGGCUGUUCGCCCAUUAAAGCGGUACGCGAGCUGGGUUCAGAACGUCGUGAGACAGUUCGGUCCCUAUCCGUCGUGGGCGUAGGAAAUUUGAGAGGAGCUGUCCUUAGUACGAGAGGACCGGGAUGGACGCACCGCUGGUGUACCAGUUGUUCUGCCAAGGGCAUAGCUGGGUAGCUAUGUGCGGAAGGGAUAAGUGCUGAAAGCAUCUAAGCAUGAAGCCCCCCUCAAGAUGAGAUUUCCCAUAGCGUAAGCUAGUAAGAUCCCUGAAAGAUGAUUAGGUUGAUAGGUUCGAGGUGGAAGCAUGGUGACAUGUGGAGCUGACGAAUACUAAUAGAUCGAGGACUUAACCAUAUAA
Molecule: ribosomal RNA, 679 nt
Filed under: Bacillus thuringiensis
Lineage: Bacteria; Bacillati; Bacillota; Bacilli; Caryophanales; Bacillaceae
Description: partial 23S ribosomal RNA
Rfam family: Bacterial large subunit ribosomal RNA
Source: RNAcentral